UACGGAGGGUGCGAGCGUUGUCCGGAAUCACUGGGCGUAAAGGGCGCGUAGGCGGCCGUGUAAGUCACUUGUGAAAUCCCGGGGCUCAACUCCGGGGCUGCAGGUGAGACUGCGUGGCUAGAGCACGGUAGAGGCGAGUGGAAUUCCCGGUGUAGCGGUGGAAUGCGUAGAUAUCGAGAGGAACACCUGCGGCGAAGGCGGGUUGCUGGGCUGACACUGACGCUGAGGCGCGAAAGCCAGGGGAGCGAACGGG
Molecule: ribosomal RNA, 253 nt
Filed under: uncultured prokaryote
Description: partial 16S ribosomal RNA
Rfam family: Bacterial small subunit ribosomal RNA
Source: RNAcentral